CUGGUCCGCACCUAAGUCUAUGUACAUGUACCACUACCGGUAAUUGAAAAGCAGAACGUUAAUGCAAGGCAAUGUACCAAUGAUUUCAGUUUAUGCAUAUGGAACGACACAGUACACUUGCUAUGAUACAUAUGAUACCAAAAAGGAUAAUUUUUUGAUAAAACUGUCCUUCCAUGUGCAGAAAUUGGAGACAGUGGAGGAACUACUCGACCUUGACGAGUUGAUAAAAACUCAACCAAGCAAGAAAGAUUUGCUGACAGCCAGGCUCUCAAAGAUUGGUGGAUAUGACUUAAAGAGCUGUUUAAGCACCAGCAUGGACAGGCUCAUGACAAAUGAAUUAAUGUCCAAUCUGAACAUGAAGGGGAGAGGGGGAAAAAAAUAGCUUUGCCGAGACGAAGCUGCUCGAUUUAGUCACAGCUAGUGUCUUGGACACCCAGAAGGGGACUGAAACGAUGGUCCAUGAUGCCAUAAAAAAUAAACUGAAAUAUGCCCCUGGACGGAAGGGAGGAAUAGGAUGGGCAUCACAGGCUAAAUAAAUAAUUAUAUCGAUUGACAUUCUCCAUUUUCUUUGAACUUAAUUUUAAUUUUGCAUUAACAGGAUUCAGCCUGGAGCUAUAUAUGCACUAUGUUUUGUUGUCUUUAAUUAUAUUUAUAUAUUGGUUGAUAUUACGUUGAUAAUUGGUUGGUUGAUCUUAGGUUGAAACUGAAAGUUGAAUCAACGUUGAAACAUUGACGUAGAUUCUACGUCGGUAUUUAAACGUUGAUCCAACUUUCAUUUUCAACCCAAAUCCAACGUUAUUUCAA
Long non-coding RNA from Nerophis ophidion (straightnose pipefish), 804 nucleotides. RefSeq lists it as uncharacterized. NCBI's taxonomy places the organism in Eukaryota, Metazoa, Chordata, Actinopteri, Syngnathiformes, Syngnathidae. The transcript has 4 exons. The record is from RefSeq and is a predicted model, not a curated record.